Molecule: ribosomal RNA, 507 nt
Filed under: uncultured bacterium
Lineage: Bacteria
Description: bacterial SSU rRNA
Rfam family: Bacterial small subunit ribosomal RNA
Source: RNAcentral
GACAAACGCUGGCGGCAUGCCUAACACAUGCAAGUCGAACGGACGGAGGCAAGGAACUCUUCGGAGGGAAUUGCCCGAGUUAGUGGCGGAUGGGUGAGUAACGCGUGGGGAACCUACCUCGUAGAGGGGAAUAAUAGUUGGAAACGACUACUAAUACCGCAUAAUGUACAAAGCUCGCAUGAGCCUUGUAAGAAAGAUGGCCUCUGAACAUGCUAUCGCUAUGAGAUGGACCCGCGUCUGAUUAGCUAGUUGGUAAGGUAACGGCUUACCAAGGCGAUGAUCAGUAGCCGGCCUGAGAGGGUGAACGGCCACAUUGGGACUGAGACACGGCCCAAACUCCUACGGGAGGCAGCAGUGGGGAAUCUUCCGCAAUGGGCGAAAGCCUGACGGAGCAAUGCCGCGUGAGUGAAGAAGGCCUUCGGGUUGUAAAGCUCUAUCCUUGUCCAAGAGAGCAGACUGUAGUAACUGACAGACUGAGGACGGUAGACAAGAAGAGACUGAYUWAUG